AGGGUUUGAUCCUGGCUCAGAACGUACGCUGGCGGCACGCCUAACACAUGCAAGUCGAACGCAGUAGCAAUACUGAGUGGCAAACGGGUGAGUAUAAUGUGGGAAUCUGCCUUUUGGUUCGGAAUAACACGAGGAAACUUGUGCUAAUACCGGAUAAGCCCUUACGGGGAAAGUUUUAAUGCCAAAAGAUGAGCCCGCACUUGAUUAGCUAGUUGGUAAGGUAAUGGCUUACCAAGGCAACGAUCAAUAGCUGUUCUUAGAGGAAGACCAGCCACAUUGGGACUGAGACACGGCCCAAACUCCUACGGGAGGCAGCAGUGGGGAAUCUUGCACAAUGGGGGAAACCCUGAUGCAGCGAUGCCGCGUGAGUGAAGAAGGCCCUUGGGUUGUAAAACUCUUUCGUCGGGGAAGAAAAUGACUGUACCCGAAUAAGAAGGUCCGGCUAACUUCGUGCCAGCAGCCGCGGUAAUACGAAGGGACCUAGCGUAGUUCGGAAUUACUGGGCUUAAAGAGUUCGUAGGUGGUUGAAAAAGUUGGUGGUGAAAUCCCAGAGCUUAACUCUGGAACUGCCAUCAAAACUUUUCAGCUAGAGUAUGAUAGAGGAAAGCAGAAUUUCUAGUGUAGAGGUGAAAUUCGUAGAUAUUAGAAAGAAUACCAAUUGCGAAGGCAGCUUUCUGGAUCAUUACUGACACUGAGGAACGAAAGCAUGGGUAGCGAAGAGGAUUAGAUACCCUCGUAGUCCAUGCCGUAAACGAUGUGUGUUAGACGUUGGAAAUUUAUUUUCAGUGUCGCAGCGAAAGCGAUAAACACACCGCCUGGGGAGUACGACCGCAAGGUUAAAACUCAAAUGAAUUGACGGGGACCCGCACAAGUAGUGGAGCAUGUGGUUUAAUUCGAAGAUACGCGCAGAACCUUACCAACACUUGACAUGUUCGUCGCGACUCUAAGAGAUUAGAGUUUUCGGUUCGGCCGGACGAAACACAGGUGCUGCAUGGCUGUCGUCAGCUCGUGUCGUGAGAUGUUGGGUUAAGUCCCGCAACGAGCGCAACCCUCACUUUUAGUUGCCAUCAUUAAGUUGGGCACUCUGAAAGAACUGCCAGUGAUAAGCUGGAGGAAGGUGGGGAUGACGUCAAGUCCUCAUGGCCCUUACGUGUUGGGCUACACACGUGCUACAAUGGUAUCUACAACAGGAAGCAAGACUGCGAAGUUAAGCAAAUCCCUAAAAGAUACCUCAGUUCGGAUUGCACUCUGCAACUCGAGUGCAUGAAGCUGGAAUUACUAGUAAUCGUGGAUCAGCGUGCCACGGUGAAUGCGUUCCCGGGUCUUGUACACACCGCCCGUCACACCAUGGGAGUUGGUUCUACCUUAAGGCAAGGUUUCAAACCCUUGACCACGGUAUAGUCAGCGACUGGGGUGAAGUCAUAACAAGGUAGCCGUA
Molecule: ribosomal RNA, 1438 nt
Filed under: uncultured bacterium
Lineage: Bacteria
Description: 16S ribosomal RNA
Rfam family: Bacterial small subunit ribosomal RNA
Source: RNAcentral